UCGAUUGCUCCGGGGAGCCCACGGACGUGGGCUGAGAGGCUGGCCAGUAUCCCGUCGGCGACCCGUAUACCCGAUCGCGGUCAUGCGCGCGUGGGGAGGAUGAAAGAUCGUGUC
Molecule: non-coding RNA, 114 nt
Filed under: Frankia sp.
Lineage: Bacteria; Bacillati; Actinomycetota; Actinomycetes; Frankiales; Frankiaceae
Also listed under: 1 other name
Description: TPP sequence
Rfam family: TPP riboswitch aptamer (THI element)
About the family: Vitamin B(1) in its active form thiamin pyrophosphate (TPP) is an essential coenzyme that is synthesised by coupling of pyrimidine and thiazole moieties in bacteria. The previously detected thiamin-regulatory element, thi box was extended, resulting in a new, highly conserved RNA secondary structure, the THI element, which is widely distributed in eubacteria and also occurs in some archaea. Analysis of operon structures identified a large number of new candidate thiamin-regulated genes, mostly transporters, in various prokaryotic organisms.
Source: RNAcentral